This 74-nucleotide transfer RNA is filed under the name bacterium B17. It matches the Rfam family "tRNA". Rfam says of the family: Transfer RNA (tRNA) molecules are approximately 80 nucleotides in length. The record is from Rfam by way of RNAcentral.
CGGGGCGUAGCGCAGUCUGGCAGCGCGGUUGCUUUGGGAGCAACAAGUCGGGGGUUCAAAUCCCUCCGCCCCGA